AUGGCCGACGAGGAGGGUUGCAUGUACGCGGUGCAGCUGGCGUUGUCGUCGGUGCUGCCGAUGACGCUCAAAGCCGCCAUCGAGCUGGGCCUGCUGGAGACCCUGGUGGGUGCCGGCGAGGGGACGCUGAGUCCGGAGGAGGUGGCCGCAAAGCUGCCGGCCAAGGCCAACCCGGAGGCGGCGGCCAUGGUAGACCGCAUGCUGCGGGUGCUAGCCUCGCACGAGAUCGUGUCGUGCGUGGUAGAGGAGGGCAAGGACGGCAGCCUCUCCCGUCGCUAUGGCGCCGCGCCGGUGUGCAAGUGGCUCACCCCCAACGAGGAGGGCGUCUCCAUGGCCGCCUGGGCCAUCAUCGCCCAGGACAAGAUCUUCAUGGACACCUGGUGCUACUUGAAGGAUGCCGUCCUUGAGGGUGGCAGCCCGUUCAAGAAGGCGCUCGGGAUGUCAUGGUUCGACUACGCCGGCACCGACAUGCGCUUCAACCACCUCUACAACGAGGCCAUGAAGCACCACUCCGGCAUCAUCACCAAGAAGCUCCUCGAGCUGUACACGGGCUUUGAUGGGCUCGGCACCCUCAUGGACGUCGGCGGCGGCAUCGGCACCACCAUCCACGCCAUCACCUCCAAGUACCCGAGCAUCAAGGGGAUCAACUACGACCUCCCCCAUGUCAUCUCCGAGGCGCCGCCAUACCCUGGCGUGCAGGUGCAGCACGUGGGCGGCGACAUGUUCGAGCAGGUGCCCUCCGGCACCGAUGCCAUCCUCAUGAAGUGGAUCCUCAACUGCUUCAGCGACCAGCAGUGCGCGACGCUGCUCAAGAACUGCUAUGACGCGCUGCCGGCGCACGGCAAGGUGAUCAACAUCGAGUGCAUCAUGCCGGUGAACCCGGACCCGACGCCUAGCGCGCGUGGGCUGAUCCAGAUCGACAUGAGCCUGCUCGCCUACAGCAAUGGUGGCAAGGAGAGGUACCAGAGGGAGCUCGAGAAGCUCGCCAUGGGCGCCGGGUUUGCCAGCGUCAAAUCCACCUAUAUCUACGCCAACUUCUGGGCCCUAGAGUACACCAAGUAG
This 1062-nucleotide ribosomal RNA is filed under the name Triticum aestivum (bread wheat). RNAcentral's name for it is "partial small subunit ribosomal RNA". The record is from RNAcentral. Lineage: Eukaryota; Viridiplantae; Streptophyta; Magnoliopsida; Poales; Poaceae.